UUGACCUCGGAUCAGGUAGGGAUACCCGCUGAACUUAAGCAUAUCAAUAAGCGGAGGAGANGAAACCAACAGGGAUUGCCUCAAUAACGGCGAGUGAAGCGGCACAGCUCAAAUUUGAAAUCUGGNCCC
RNAcentral lists this ribosomal RNA (129 nucleotides) under Nephroma rufum. Its description in RNAcentral is "partial 26S ribosomal RNA". It matches the Rfam family "Eukaryotic large subunit ribosomal RNA", at positions 1 to 129 of the family's 3401-position model. The record is from RNAcentral. Lineage: Eukaryota; Fungi; Ascomycota; Lecanoromycetes; Peltigerales; Nephromataceae.